GAGGGUAUAGUUCAGUUGGUAAAGUGCCUGCUUAGCAUGCAUGAAGUCCUGGGUUCAAUCCUCAGUACUUCCA
RNAcentral lists this transfer RNA (73 nucleotides) under Camelus bactrianus (Bactrian camel). It matches the Rfam family "tRNA". From Rfam's summary of the family: Transfer RNA (tRNA) molecules are approximately 80 nucleotides in length. Their secondary structure includes four short double-helical elements and three loops (D, anti-codon, and T loops). Lineage: Eukaryota; Metazoa; Chordata; Mammalia; Artiodactyla; Camelidae. RNAcentral also lists the same sequence under 1 other name. The record is from Rfam by way of RNAcentral.